GUGACGUGGGCAAAAGUGGAAGAGAGUAUCCAAAUAGGCAGUGGCGAAUGCAAUCUAAGCACCUCAGCAAUGGCGUCGGCGCCUGCUGCUUAUUCCUUUCUCCAUUGAUCGAUCGAUCAAUCCACCAAUUCAUGAGACGAUGCGUUGUUGUUGUGGAUUAGGAUCUCGCCGCUGGAUUUCCAACUACGACAAGCUCCAUCGCUUUGCCCUCUUCCUCAUCUACGCUCAGAUUGGCUGCUCUCUCCUCGGAUCGCUCUCCCCUCUCUACAAUGGCGUCCUCAUCCUCCAUUUAGGGGUUUCUCUCUUCGGCCUCGUCGCCGUCGAGAGCAGCAAUCAGAGCCUCGCCCGCACCUACGCCUUCCUCCUCUUCUGCUCCUUCUUCCUCGACCUCUCCUGGUUCUUCCUCUUCUCUCACCAAAUCUGGCAUUUUCCUUCUGGUGUGUACGGAACCUUAGCUGCCUACGCCGUGAAGCUGACUCUGGUGGUGCAGAUCGCCGGAGUUUCAGUUAGGCUGUUAUCAUCCUUCUUAUGGAUUCAGAUUUACAGGCAGGGCGUUUCUAGCGCGGACGGCUCAGCUGCCAGAGAUGCGGAUGCCGAUUUGAGAUUUAAUUGCCUCAACUCGGCUACUCAUGUUGUUCGACAUCCCUACGAUGUGAUCGACGAUGCGUAUGAUCCUGCUAAUUUCCUGCCUCUUUUUGGAGAUCGCGCCAGGGAUGACUCCUCUCGAUAUGGGGUAUGCUCCUUCCUCUUCAAACCAUUAUUCAUUCUUCUAUGUUUUUCACAUUUUAUUCAUAAAUCAUAUAGUAAUAUGGAUUUGUUAGAGCUACAAACAAAAAUUAAGACAUGGAAGACAUUAGGAGAGCAGAGCAGUCCAAAUAUUGAGUUGCUAAGCUCCUUAAAUUCACAAAUUAACAGACUUAGCAGUUUAUCUUGUGUUGUGCUGCUUAUUCUUUUGUGCAAUAUAUAUGUAUCCAAAUAUGAACUGUUGCUAUGAUUUGGUGUUUGAUUGCUCAUAAAUUUGGUGUUUGUAUUUGAUUAUAAGUGUAAAAUAAUCCUUAGCAUUCAAAAUCGUACAAGUGGUAAUGGAGAUCAUCCCUUGACAUUCGCAUGAAAAUGGAAGAUGUUAUGAUGUUGGCUCCUACUCUGUAUUAUUAUUGACUGUUUGAUUUAUAAGUUUGGAUUCUUACGUUGUUUUAGCUUCUGUGCAUUGUGCAACUCAUUCGAAACACAAGUCAGAACUUAAUGCUAAACUGGGACUGGAUCUGUUAAUAACUAGUGUACAAAUAUUUAUGAGGGCCAAACUGGAUGACUGAACUUGUGUUUUUGCCAACUAUGAUGUCUUUUGUCAUUGCUGAGAUGAUGCGAUUCUCUUCUAAGCAUGAAGACAUUUUUCUUAUGAAUGAGAUGCAGAACAUAAACCUUAGUCCGUGGACUGAGCAUGGUGGUCUUUGACAUUUACAAGCCUAUAUAGUCUGAAGUAGUUUAACUUGUGUUUAUAGUGUCUAAGAGGAUGCUUGGGUGUGGUGGUUUGGGAAGAGGAAAUAGGAGAACAAGAUAAAUGGGUGAUUGGAAUUUCCAGAAUCACUUCAUUCCGCCACCAUUAUACAAUAAUCGUUCUCAUUCCUCUUAAAGUAUACUGCUGGUUCGGGAUUGAGAUGUGAGACAUAAAUACUAGCAGCAAUAUAUUUUUUCCAUUAGCUUAAGCUGUUUGCUUCACUAGAUCAGGAGCUGGAGAGAAUGCAGCUCCAUUACAAACAUAAUGUGAAUGGUAGAGAUAAAGUGAUAUUGUAGGGAUCAGACUGCUUAGGAUUCACUAAUUACCGGGACCUUUUUUAUUGAUUGGUUCUGAGAUAGCUAAUCUCGGAGGUACAAGCCAAUACAAAAGAGAUAUUUUGUUUCACCACAACAAAUUAUUUGAUUCUUUGUUUUCAAAGAAUUUUCAUGAUAGACCAGAACAAUCAUUUAUAGGAUUUAAUGAUUCCUAAAAGUCGAUUCAUCUUUUUGACUAUUUUCAUUGAAAAAAUCUAUACAGAUAUAUUUGUAUCUAUCGUUAAUAUUCCCAGAAUAAAUACAGAAUUUUUUCUUAAAUUAACAAAAAAAUUUAUUGAUAAGAAUAAUCAAAGAAAACAAGCAAAAAUUAAUACAAAAAAGAAAACUAAACUUAAUCAAAAAGUAGAAAAAGAAAUAAUUGUAUCAGAGCCCUGGUUCAGGGCUGGGCCUGUGUGGCUCGGGGUUCGGUGGUUGCGCUUGCAAGUUCUCCAAUGUCUCUGCGUGAGCUCGACCAAGACCUGUGGUGACCGGGUGACCUGUAACAUGAGGCACGCAUGUGGUUUUGGUCUUGGUCUGGUGGUCUUGGUUUGAGGGGAGGAUUGUGAGGGCAAACAAUUCCCACAUUGGAGAAUGAACAAGACUUGCAAGUGUAUAAAUGGGCUACCCCUACUCCAUUAGUAUGAGGCCUUUUGGGGAGAUCCCCAAGAGCAAAACCGUGAGGGCUUUGCCCACAAUAUCAUACUAAUGUGGAGUUCGGAUGUGCGCCACCGAUACCCAGCAGAUAUGAUCACCAGAUGGGUAUGAAGCUUAUUUUUGGAUGGCAGGCUAUUCAAAACGGCGACUCAACUGUAGGAGACUCUGCUGGAACUUCUCAGGCGCAUUCAUACAAAAGUUCUGAUGUUUUCAUGUUAAGAUAAUAUUGUUGGUCCAUGAUGAAUCAUAUUGUUUACUAAUGGGUGGGUGAUCAAUAUUUCAGGACGAGAAAUGCUUGAGAUGGUUUGAACUAAUGGUGAUGGUUACUUCUCCCUUCAUUCCAUCCUCAUAUUUUUUAUUUUUUCAUUCAAUUAAAGAUGGGUAAGUGCAGUGUAUAUGUUUUUUUCUAUGCAUGGCAAUAUUUUUCUUUUUUUAGUAAUGAUGCUGCCAUAUGACCAGGA
Molecule: RNA transcript, 2924 nt
Organism: Salvia hispanica
Lineage: Eukaryota; Viridiplantae; Streptophyta; Magnoliopsida; Lamiales; Lamiaceae
Source: RefSeq, a predicted model, not a curated record